ACUGCUCAGUAACACGUGGACAACCUACCCUUGGGUCUGGCAUAAUCCUGGGAAACUGGGUAUAAUUCCAGAUAGGUCACAGAUGCUGGAAUGCACUGUGGCCGAAAGCUCCGGCGCCCAAGGAUGGGUCUGCGGCCUAUCAGGGUUGUAGUGGGUGUAACGGACCUACUAGCCUACGACGGGUACGGGUUGUGAGAGCAAGAGCCCGGAGAUGGAUUCUGAGACACGAAUCCAGGCCCUACGGGGUGCAGCAGGCGCGAAAACUUUACAAUGCGGGAAACCGUGAUAAGGGAAUCUCGAGUGCCAGCAUAUAAUGUUGGCUGUCCAGAUGCCUAAAAAGCAUCUGUUAGCAAGGGCCGGGCAAGACCGGUGCCAGCCGCCGCGGUAACACCGGCGGCCCGAGUGGUAACCGCUUUUAUUGGGUCUAAAGGGUCUGUAGCCGGCCAAGUAAGUCCCUUGGGAAAUCUGGCAGCUUAACUGUCAGGCUGCUAGGGGAUACUGCUAGGCUUGGGACCGGGAGAGGUGAGAGGUACCUUGGGGGUAGGGGUGAAAUCUUGUGAUCCUCGGGGGACCACCAGUGGCGAAGGCGUCUCACCAGAACGGGUCCGACGGUAAGGGACGAAAGCUAGGGGCACGAACCGGAUUAGAUACCCGGGUAGUCCUAGCCGUAAACGAUGCUCGCUAGGUGUCAGUCACGGUGCGACCGUGAUUGGUGCCGUAGGGAAGCCGUGAAGCGAGCCACCUGGGAAGUAUGGCCGCAAGGCUGAAACUUAAAGGAAUUGGCGGGGGAGCAC
Molecule: ribosomal RNA, 794 nt
Filed under: uncultured Methanosaeta sp.
Lineage: Archaea; Methanobacteriati; Methanobacteriota; Methanomicrobia; Methanotrichales; Methanotrichaceae
Also listed under: 2 other names
Description: bacterial SSU rRNA
Rfam family: Archaeal small subunit ribosomal RNA
Source: RNAcentral